UUGACCUCGGAUCAGGUAGGACUACCCGCUGAACUUAAGCAUAUCAAUAAGCGGAGGAAAAGAAACCAACAGGGAUUGCCCCAGUAACGGCGAGUGAAGCGGCAACAGCUCAGAUUUGGAAUCUGGCCCCCAGGGCCCGAGUUGUAAUCUGGAGAGGAUGCUUCUGGCGCGGCGCCUUCCGAGUUCCCUGGAACGGGACGCCGGAGAGGGUGAGAGCCCCGUACGGUUGGACGCCUAGCCUUUGUGAAGCUCCUUCGACGAGUCGAGUAGUUUGGGAAUGCUGCUCAAAAUGGGAGGUAAAUUUCUUCUAAAGCUAAAUACCGGCCAGAGACCGAUAGCGCACAAGUAGAGUGAUCGAAAGAUGAAAAGCACUUUGAAAAGAGGGUCAAACAGUACGUCUCAUUGUUGAAAGGGAAG
Molecule: ribosomal RNA, 417 nt
Filed under: Leptographium procerum
Lineage: Eukaryota; Fungi; Ascomycota; Sordariomycetes; Ophiostomatales; Ophiostomataceae
Description: eukaryotic LSU rRNA
Rfam family: Eukaryotic large subunit ribosomal RNA
Source: RNAcentral